ACUGGGGAGGUUAGACUAAGCUUUCUCCGUCAUCUGUCUUACUAAACGACAUGAAAUUGCGCAACAUUUGUGAAAGUCUACAUCAAUGAGUAAAGACUAUCUUGUUCUCAGAGUGACGUGUCGUAUCACCCUCAGGAUUCCGUCUCGGUGCAUAGAAAUUGCAUCCGCAAUAGUGUUCCAAUUGUUGAAUGUCCCACUGGUAGGAUGGUUUUCUGUCCCAGAGAAUCCUGUGGCAUUGCUAUGAUGAGCCGUGACAUCUCAAAGAGUUCCCGCUUGCCAAUCUAAUUUUUACAAUAUUCUAAUGGCCGCAGCUCAUCUGUUGCCCUGCAAGCCUCAUGAACGGCGCUUUUGAUUGCCAACAAGAGGAAUAGAGCUUCAGGGAAGGCAGAGUUUGUGGUGAACACCGCCGGAAUGUCCGUGAUGGGCUCAGCUUUGACGUUACGCAAUUCUCCACAUUUUCUUCGGCAUAUUCGUCCUUACCUACUACUUGUGUCUCAAUAUCGCUCUCAUGUACCUCCUCCUCUUCAAGCACAUGAAGUGAGUCUCUUUUUGUUUUAUUCCAUUUCGUAGCACUAUUUUGGACUCCUACUUGUUCGCUGCGAAACGAGGUUGAUGGAUUGAUAGUGUCGGGUAGGUAUGGUUUGAUCAAUUUGCAUUCAUGCAUGGGUAAUUCAAGAAUUAGGGUUUCAGAGUGAAUUCGAUUUUACCUUUCGUGCGCUCUACUUGUUGGCAUUUUGAUAUAUUUUGUGGCACUUGGGCAAGUUGAUGUUUGAAGCCUGGUGUUUUUUUUCGUAAGCUUCUGAAAACACCCAGAAUCUGAGUAUGGUGUAGAUCAAAUAACUGGUAUUUAUUUGCACUGUGAGCGUACAGUAUAAUUUUGAGAUAAUAAUUGUCGAAGAUGCAAGCUCUGGCGAAACGCAAGACACAAUGACGACAUUGCAAAGAACUUGCGGCCAGAGUCGGAUAGUUAGAUCAUCAUCAAUCUCAAAACUAAUUCUUCAGAUUAGUAAUGGCGGAAUCUUUUGCGUAUACUUCGAGCCGCAAAACUGGAAUUAGGCAUUACUUUCACUCAAAGUUUUCCCAAGCUUACUCGCAGCAAGGUGCAAACCACCAAGAUGCAUCUAGGUUGAGAUGCAUCUGGGUGUGUCGGGAAUGUCAUGCUCUUUUCUACUCUGGGAUUGCACUGAGUUCAUGCUAGGGAUAAUGAAUAGCAAACUGUCACUGACCUGGAAGCUCUGGUGGGAUUUCGAUGGGUUUUUAUAUCAUUAUUCCAUAUUCCAGGAGCUGCGAUUGUGCAUGGUCUGAGAUACACACUUGGUGACUUGAUCAUUAUUCUGGAUACUGAUCUUGCUCACCAUGUAAAUUUCGUUUUUAAGGUUGCGUGAUAAAUUUUGGACCUAUAAAUUUGAUCGUAGAAUUUAGUCGUAAGUGUGGUUAUGAUUUUUCUGUAAAUGAUUUCAUAUUUCAUUCAAUUUGUCUUGCAUGAGAAUAAACGUUCUAUAUUAGGUUUGAUCAAUUACACUGUUGGAAGAAGCUAAAUUUGUAAUCCUAAUCGUAUAUGUUUCAUCGCUGUUGAUGUUUCAGUAACCUUGAGGGUCAGUAGUAUUGCUGUAUCAGCAUCUUAACCUAUGGCAAGUGAAGCUGGGAAUGAACAGGAAGCAGUUGGAAACAAAUGCAGAUAUUGUCACAGGAACUCGGUAUGUAAAAGGAAAAAGUGUUCACAGUUGAGACCUGCGGCUCAAAUUAGCGAACCGAGGUUCCAACCACAUUCGUUGACAGGGUUUGUGGGAUCUCAAAGUUCGUGGGCACAGAAAUCGUUCAACAUUUUGAAGGGUUUCUUAAUUUAGAUGGCUUGAUAACCAUGUGGGAAAACAGGCAUGACUUGAUUUUAAUGCAGAUUCCUCCAGAUGUGGGAUUUUGUUCGGUAUUAAACCAGAGUCUUUUGAGGCAAUCGUGUCUAGUAUUGCAGAGAAGAUAAGCCUCUGCCGUGGUUGGCUACGUCGAACGUCCAUCUAGAGUGAAAGCUGGUUAAGGUAAACAAGUAAUCAGCAGUUGGAUGAACUCCAAAAUGAUGCUUUCAAAAGAGAAAAUGGGAAGUCACAACCGCAAUACCAGGUCUCGGUGCGUCCUAUUGAUGCCUGCAACUAUGGAAGGGGAACUGGUGGCUGAAAUGAGAACUCGAACAAAAACUUGAAGUCGGAUUCUUUAUUCUCGCUUCUUAUUUUGCUCUACUUCUUAGAAGCAAAUCUUUUUCCAAAGAAUAUGAGUCACAAGUGCACGGUACAGGAAACAAUUCUUUGAAAAACACAGUGUAGUUGGAGUUUAAUUUGACUGGGCUCCCAAUGAUGUCUUUCUUUGGCACUUCAGUUUUUUUAAUAUAAGGAUUCAAAAGCA
Molecule: non-coding RNA, 2394 nt
Organism: Physcomitrium patens
Lineage: Eukaryota; Viridiplantae; Streptophyta; Bryopsida; Funariales; Funariaceae
Source: RefSeq, a predicted model, not a curated record